ACGAACGCUGGCGGCAUGCCUAACACAUGCAAGUCGAACGAGACCUUCGGGUCUAGUGGCGCACGGGUGCGUAACGCGUGGGAAUCUGCCCUUUGCUUCGGAAUAACAGUUAGAAAUGACUACUAAUACCGGAUGAUGUCUUCGGACCAAAGAUUUAUCGGCAAAGGAUGAGCCCGCGUAGGAUUAGGUAGUUGGUGGGGUAAAGGCCUACCAAGCCGACGAUCCUUAGCUGGUCUGAGAGGAUGAUCA
Molecule: ribosomal RNA, 249 nt
Filed under: uncultured bacterium
Lineage: Bacteria
Description: partial 16S ribosomal RNA
Rfam family: Bacterial small subunit ribosomal RNA
Source: RNAcentral